RNAcentral lists this ribosomal RNA (296 nucleotides) under uncultured bacterium. RNAcentral's name for it is "partial 16S ribosomal RNA". It matches the Rfam family "Bacterial small subunit ribosomal RNA", at positions 333 to 643 of the family's 1533-position model. The record is from RNAcentral.
AUCGGCCUACGGGGCGCAGCAGUGGGGAAUAUUGCACAAUGGGCGAAAGCCUGAUGCAGCAACGCCGCGUGAAGGAAGAAGGGUUUCGGCUCGUAAACUUCUAUUAACAGGGACGAAAGAAAUGACGGUACCUGAAUAAGAAGCCCCGGCUAACUACGUGCCAGCGGCCGCGGUAAUACGUAGGGGGCAAGCGUUAUCCGGAAUUACUGGGUGUGAAGGGUGAGUAGGCGGCAUGGUAAGCCAGAUGUGAAAGCCUUGGGCUUAACCCGCGGAUUGCAUUUGGAACUAUCAAGCUA